RNAcentral lists this ribosomal RNA (253 nucleotides) under uncultured bacterium. RNAcentral's name for it is "partial 16S ribosomal RNA". It matches the Rfam family "Bacterial small subunit ribosomal RNA", at positions 524 to 776 of the family's 1533-position model. The record is from RNAcentral.
UACGUAGGGGGCAAGCGUUAUCCGGAUUUACUGGGUGUAAAGGGAGCGUAGACGGCAGAGCAAGUCUGAAGUGAAAGCCCGCGGCCCAACUGCGGGACUGCUUUGGAAACUGCCCGGCUAGAGUGCUGGAGAGGUAAGCGGAAUUCCUAGUGUAGCGGUGAAAUGCGUAGAUAUUAGGGGGAACACCAGUGGCGAAGGCGGCUUACUGGACAGUAACUGACGUUGAGGCUCGAAAGCGUGGGGAGCAAACAGG